RNAcentral lists this ribosomal RNA (423 nucleotides) under uncultured bacterium. RNAcentral's name for it is "bacterial SSU rRNA". It matches the Rfam family "Bacterial small subunit ribosomal RNA", at positions 361 to 776 of the family's 1533-position model. The record is from RNAcentral.
AUUUUGGACAAUGGGCGCAAGCCUGAUCCAGCCAUUCCGCGUGCAGGAUGAAGGCCCUCGGGUUGUAAACUGCUUUUGUACGGAACGAAACGGCGCCUUCUAAUACAGGGCGCUAAUGACGGUACCGUAAGAAUAAGCACCGGCUAACUACGUGCCAGCAGCCGCGGUAAUACGUAGGGUGCAAGCGUUAAUCGGAAUUACUGGGCGUAAAGCGUGCGCAGGCGGUGAUGUAAGACAGGUGUGAAAUCCCCGGGCUUAACCUGGGAACUGCAUUUGUGACUGCAUCGCUGGAGUGCGGCAGAGGGGGAUGGAAUUCCGCGUGUAGCAGUGAAAUGCGUAGAUAUGCGGAGGAACACCGAUGGCGAAGGCAAUCCCCUGGGCCUGCACUGACGCUCAUGCACGAAAGCGUGGGGAGCAAACAGG